RNAcentral lists this ribosomal RNA (429 nucleotides) under bacterium. Its description in RNAcentral is "partial 16S ribosomal RNA". It matches the Rfam family "Bacterial small subunit ribosomal RNA", at positions 355 to 776 of the family's 1533-position model. The record is from RNAcentral.
UAGGGAAUCUUCCACAAUGGACGCAAGUCUGAUGGAGCAACGCCGCGUGAGUGAAGAAGGUUUUCGGAUCGUAAAGCUCUGUUGUUGGUGAAGAAGGAUAGAGGUAGUAACUGGCCUUUAUUUGACGGUAAUCAACCAGAAAGUCACGGCUAACUACGUGCCAGCAGCCGCGGUAAUACGUAGGUGGCAAGCGUUGUCCGGAUUUAUUGGGCGUAAAGCGAGCGCAGGCGGAAGAAUAAGUCUGAUGUGAAAGCCCUCGGCUUAACCGAGGAACUGCAUCGGAAACUGUUUUUCUUGAGUGCAGCAGAGGAGAGUGGAAUUCCAUGUGUAGCGGUGGAAUGCGUAGAUAUAUGGAAGAACACCAGUGGCGAAGGCGACUCUCUGGUCUGCAACUGACGCUGAGGCUCGAAAGCAUGGGUAGCGAACAGG